GAUGAAGAACGCAGCGAAAUGCGAUACGUAAUGUGAAUUGCAGAAUUCAGUGAAUCAUCGAAUCUUUGAACGCAUAUUGCGCUCUCUGGUAUUCCGGAGAGCAUGCUUGUUUGAGUAUCAGUAAACACCUCAACUCCCUUUUCUUUUUUGAAAUUGGAGCUGGACUUGAGUGAUCCCAACGCUUUCUUCCAAGAAAGUGGCGGGUUGCUUGAAAUGCAGGUGCAGCUGAACUUUUCUCUGAGCUAUAAGCAUAUCUAUUUAGUCUGCCUAAAAAACAGAUUAUUACCUUUGCUGCAGCUAACAUAAAGGAGACUAGUUCUUGUGCUGACUGAUGCAGGAUUCACAGAGACAGCUUCGGCUGACUUUGUAAACUCGAUCUCAAAUCAAGUAAGACUACCCGCUGAACUUAAGCAUAUAAAUAAGCGGAGGA
RNAcentral lists this unclassified non-coding RNA (430 nucleotides) under soil metagenome. RNAcentral's name for it is "partial contains 5.8S ribosomal RNA, internal transcribed spacer 2, and large subunit ribosomal RNA". The stretch from base 1 to 120 matches the Rfam family "5.8S ribosomal RNA", at positions 35 to 154 of the family's 154-position model. The record is from RNAcentral.